GAUGAACGCUGGCGGCGUGCCUAAUACAUGCAAGUCGAGCGAACAGACGAGGAGCUUGCUCCUCUGACGUUAGCGGCGGACGGGUGAGUAACACGUGGAUAACCUACCUAUAAUACUGGGAUAACUUCGGGAAACCGGAGCUAAUACCGGAUAAUAUAUUGAACCGCAUGGUUCAAUAGUGAAAGACGGUUUUGCUGUCACUUAUAGAUGGAUCCGCGCCGCAUUAGCUAGUUGGUAAGGUAACGGCUUACCAAGGGAACGAUGCGUAGCCGAACUGAGAGGGUGAGCGGCGAAACGGGAACGGAGACAGGGACCAGAGUAAGACGGGAGGAAGCAGUAGGGAAUAUUGCGCAAUGGGCGAAAGCAUGACGGAGCAACGCCGCGGGAGUGAAGAAGGUCUUGGGAUCGUAAAACUAUGUUAUUAGGGAAGAACAAAAGUGUAAGUAACUAUGCACGUCUUGACGGUAACUAAACAGAAAGCAACGGCUAACUACGUG
RNAcentral lists this ribosomal RNA (497 nucleotides) under uncultured bacterium. RNAcentral describes it as "partial 16S ribosomal RNA". It matches the Rfam family "Bacterial small subunit ribosomal RNA", at positions 28 to 507 of the family's 1533-position model. The record is from RNAcentral.